AUUUGUAACUACGUAAUUCUUGUAUUGCUACAUGCUGAGCCAUGACCAAGUCAUUUUCGAAAGAUUUAUCAGUUCAGUGCUGUGCAUUUCACAGUUAUAGUUCAAAUCCUCCACUUGGCUGAAAUUUGAUGCUUGGAGGCCUACAAAGACGUUUUGUUCCACGCUUGGAUAGUGGCAGAAGAGAAUGGAUUCUCGCAGGGUUUGAUUGAGAAUGCAAUACACACUCCAGCUCUGGACCAGUUGCUGCUUCUACUACAAGGGUUUUGUGGGGGUUUAUGAGGUUGCAAAUUAUAACUAUCCUAAAGUAGAAUGGGGUUUUGUACUGUUCAUUCAAUAGUGUCAUGGCUCUUUUGCCCUUUCAUUCUCUGCCUUUUUACUUGAGUACCCCAGACUGGUGUUCGUCUCCUGUGGGACUCCGCGUGGCUCUGUUUCUUUGCUCCACGAACAGAGAGCAUAGAGAGUUCAAGAACGAUCGAGAAAGUGUGUGAGAAAGAGAGGUGAUAUUCAGAGGCUUUGCGUCUUUGAUCCGCAGAAGUACGGAGAGGGUGAGAGAGGUGAAGAACAAUAGGGAGAGAACUCAGAGAAGACCCAUUUCAAUUCGAUCCGUUUCAACUUCCGUUAAGCUACGCUCUCUUUGGUUAUGUUUUCAGUCAUGCAUCAAAAUUGCAAUGGACUUUGUCUCACCUGAAAAUGUCGGCGAGCGCUUUCACUUGACAGAAGUAUUCCGCACACUGCCAGAAAAUCAUAGGGCUAAAGAGGACAAAUUGGAGGAACUGGGGAGUAUGGUUUCUCUGAAAUGCAUUGCCUGUAUCGUACAUUUCCAAUUAAAUCAUGGUGCUCCGCAGGGAAGGAAAACAAAAUACAAGAUACUAACUCAGUAACUCUCAUGGAAGAGAAGCAGUUGAAUUUUAACCACGCUUAGAGGGUCUGUUAACAGAAUAUCAGAAGAGAUCAGAGACAAGAACUUCUCCCUCUUGCCACCUGUCCUGUCUUUCAAAAUCAAAUGAACCUCUGUGAGGAGUUGAAAGCAUUAAAGGAUGUGGAGUCAAAACCAACCAAUGCUGCGAACAAGGAACCAGCCAAAAAUGCGAAGUCUUAACUGUAAUCAUAGACAAGUUUUUUGCCAAGUCUAAUCAUAUGUAAUAUGUACAUAUGCACCUGCUUGGGUAGCAUUUUUGCAAUCUGGCUAAAGUACCAGAUUUGAAAUGAUGUGUAAUGUAUAUAUAAUUUUGAAAUCUGGCUAAAGUACCCAAUUUUAGAACAUGUAGAAUAAUGUGUACGUAGUUGGAUAUGCAAUUUUGAAAUCUGCCUAAAGUUCCAAAUUUUGGAUCAUGUAAAACAAUGUCUUCUGUACAUCUAUAACGUAUUUA
Molecule: long non-coding RNA, 1370 nt
Organism: Rosa rugosa (rugosa rose)
Lineage: Eukaryota; Viridiplantae; Streptophyta; Magnoliopsida; Rosales; Rosaceae
Exons: 6
Source: RefSeq, a predicted model, not a curated record